CUGCCCCGCGCAUCCUCCGAGCCGCCUCCCAGCCCGCGCAUCCUCGGCUCACCUCCCCCGGGCCUCGCCGGGGUCCGGCUUCGUGUUCCUUGCGGACCGGAAUUCGACCGAGGACGUGGGAGUCGUUGCGCGCUUCUCGGGAGGCCAAAGGACGGGGAGGAGACGUGCGGGCAGCGCGUCACGCCCUCCUAGCGCCUGGCAGGGUCAGAGCCAAGUGCACGGGCGCUGCCCAGCCGAGCCUUUCAGUUUGCCCACGCUCGAGUUUGGUAGUCGAGGUGGCUGGAAGCAUCUGCCCUAACUCCACCCUUCUUCAUCUCUGUCUUCAGUUUGAAUGUACCGCCUAAACUUAUUCUGCCUUGCCAUUGGCCAAACAGCUUUAUUUAUCAACCAAUGAGAGCAACACAUAUUUACAGUACACAGAAAGACAUCCCACAGCAGAAGGAAGCAGUAGCUGAAGAAUCAGGCUCUAGUGCAGGGAGCCGGGACAAUCGCCAUUAUAAGAUGGCGCUGACUUCUCUGCAUUCUGAAGAUUUAUUACUCCUAAGACAAUGCUUUCGACGAAAUACACGCCUCUGCUUUGCAUAUGCACAAGUUAUAUUGGCCCCUCACCAAUCCUGUCUUGCCUGGUGGCCGCAGGCUAAGUUCAGCCAGCGAUUCGCGCCUCUUUCCCUAUAAAAAGCAGCCGCUUUCACUGCCCCCUCCCCUCGCUUCCAGCACUCCCUUAACCAAAGGCUCUCCAAUAAAGUGUGAUCGGGAAGAA
Peromyscus maniculatus bairdii (prairie deer mouse) is the source of this 760-nucleotide non-coding RNA. NCBI's taxonomy places the organism in Eukaryota, Metazoa, Chordata, Mammalia, Rodentia, Cricetidae. The record is from RefSeq and is a predicted model, not a curated record.